UAUAAGGAGUUAGACGAUCCUUUAGGCAUCAGGAUGCCUAAAGGAUCGUCUAACUCCUUAUA
RNAcentral lists this microRNA precursor (62 nucleotides) under Podarcis lilfordi (Lilford's wall lizard). Lineage: Eukaryota; Metazoa; Chordata; Lepidosauria; Squamata; Lacertidae. The record is from RNAcentral.